UCCCUUGGGCUGCAGCACCCUCC
RNAcentral lists this microRNA (23 nucleotides) under Gallus gallus (chicken). Its description in RNAcentral is "gga-miR-7443-3p". Lineage: Eukaryota; Metazoa; Chordata; Aves; Galliformes; Phasianidae. The record is from miRBase by way of RNAcentral.